RNAcentral lists this ribosomal RNA (997 nucleotides) under Phyllosticta capitalensis. Its description in RNAcentral is "SSU rRNA". It matches the Rfam family "Eukaryotic small subunit ribosomal RNA", at positions 53 to 1056 of the family's 1831-position model. Lineage: Eukaryota; Fungi; Ascomycota; Dothideomycetes; Botryosphaeriales; Phyllostictaceae. The record is from RNAcentral.
GCGCUUCUGUUAGGAAUCUAUACUGUGAAACUGCGAAUGGCUCAUUAAAUCAGUUAUCGUUUAUUUGAUAGUACCUUACUACUUGGAUAACCGUGGUAAUUCUAGAGCUAAUACAUGCUAAAAACCCCGACUUCGGAAGGGGUGUAUUUAUUAGAUAAAAAACCAAUGCCCUUCGGGGCUCCUUGGUGAAUCAUGAUAACUUAACGAAUCGCAUGGCCUUGCGCCGGCGAUGGUUCAUUCAAAUUUCUGCCCUAUCAACUUUCGAUGGUAGGAUAGUGGCCUACCAUGGUAGCAACGGGUAACGGGGAAUUAGGGUUCUAUUCCGGAGAGGGAGCCUGAGAAACGGCUACCACAUCCAAGGAAGGCAGCAGGCGCGCAAAUUACCCAAUCCCGACACGGGGAGGUAGUGACAAUAAAUACUGAUACAGGGCUCUUUCGAGUCUUGUAAUUGGAAUGAGUACAAUUUAAAUACCUUAACGAGGAACAAUUGGAGGGCAAGUCUGGUGCCAGCAGCCGCGGUAAUUCCAGCUCCAAUAGCGUAUAUUAAAGUUGUUGCAGUUAAAAAGCUCGUAGUUGAACCCUUGGGCACUGGCUGGCCCGGUCCGCCUCACCGCGUGUACUGGUCCGGCCGGGCCUUUCCUUCUGGGGAUCCGCAUGCCCUUCACUGGGUGUGUCGGGGAACCAGGACUUUUACUUUGAAAAAAUUAGAGUGUUCAAAGCAGGCCUUUGCUCGAAUACAUUAGCAUGGAAUAAUAGAAUAGGGACGUGCGGUCCUAUUUUUGUUGGUUUCUAGGACCGCCGUAAUGAUUAAUAGGGGAUAGUCGGGGGCAUCAGUAUUCAAUUGUCAGAGGUGAAAUUCUUGGAAUUUAUUGAAGACUAACUACUGCGAAAGAUUUUGCCAAGGAUGUUUUCAUUAAUCAGUGAACGAAAGUUAGGGGAUCGAAGAGAUCAGAAUACCGUCGUAGUCUUAACCGUAACUAUGCCGAUAAGGGAUCGG